AUGGCGGCGAAGGAGGCUGACGGGGACCGCUUCAUCGAGAUGGUAUCGGCGGGGGCGCUUUACCGCGGCGGCGAAUGGGAGCGCAAGUACUGGAGCUGCUCAAGGGGCAAAGAUCGGUACCCGUACCCAGUGGGCUAUCACGCCGUCCGCCAUUUCUCCGGGAUAUCGUACGCCAUGGAGAUCCGGCAAGGACCCAGAGGGCCUGUAUUCCAGGUCACAUCCACCGAGGGAGAUUGCGCGACAGGCCAGACACCGGAUAUAGCUUGGAAGAACUUCCACAAGAAGACAGGGGCCAAAGUCAGGGACUGGCAGAGGCUGGGGAGCUUCCCUCAGAAGAUUGACGGUGUCGAGCUUUUUGGGUUCAAAAAUGCAUCUGUUCAGAGACUGCUUCGUCAGCUUCUAGUAGAUUCGACUGGAUUUGGAAUAGACAUGCCUUCUCCAAAAAUUUAUGGUGCUGCUUCACCGUCAACUGAUACGGUUGCAGCUGAUGUUUCUGAUGAUCACAAAGAGCAGCAUGUUUGUUUGGACAAGACAGUUGUAACUGCUAAAAGAAGUAUGAACCCGAUCCAGGAGGAAGGUACUGCUAAGAGAGCCCACAACCAGGAUAUGUUGACUUCAGUUGAUAACAGCACAGUAGAGUUGGAUAAAUCUGCUCGUCAAAGUUUCAACAAGGGAGAUCCUGUAAGCAACUCACAGUUGUCUGUUGUUUCUACUCCAAUAUGCAUGCCUCCAUUGCUGGAGGAAAUACCCUGUGAUUCAAAAUGCACUCUGGUUAAUGAUAAUUUGGGAGAUUAUGUUCCAAAUUCAUCUCAGGAAGAUGGUUUAUCUUCCAGUUCUUAUUUAGGCUCUGAAAAGUCUGACUUGGAAGCAGCAGAGAAGGAAGUAGCUAGGUCUAUGAUGACAUUUUUGCUUCCCCAAGCUAUCCCCCUUCUGGAGAAAACUUACAGAAGAAGGAAGGUUAAGCAAAAAAAGAAAGAAGAUGCAGUUUUAGCGAGAAGUGUUGCAGCUCAAAAUCCCUCUGCUGAUGGUUGCAAAGCAGGUGCCACUUCGCCUACAAGUGUUGGUGAAGGGAAUAUGAAUGGCUCUCAAACACAUGUACACAAGGAACCUCUGUGUGAGGCGGUUAAAGACAUCGGUCCUAAUGAUGAUUGCAUGAAAGAACAGAUCUCUAAAUCAGACGACAUGAAAGCCGUUGUCGCAGAUAGUUUUGAGGAUGAUGGACAGAUUGGGGGUGACAGCAGAUCCAAACCUACGGGUGCUCACCAUGAGUUUGAUGAUGCAUGCUCUAAGGAACCUAACGAGAACUUAAAGUUGUUAAAGAGCACAAGGGAAAGUCAUGCUCAAUUUUCUGAGAGUCAGGUUGAGGUACACAAUAGAAAGGAUAUUCCUGAUGUAGUAUAUGAUCAUGAGAAAGGUCAGUAUGUUUUGUCUGAUUCGCUCCUUGCUUGUCUAGAGGAAGAGUUUGGCAUGGAUGAUAGUUCCCACCCCGCGCACUACAAUCAUGGUAACAGCAAUGUUGAACCAGUGCAACGCCAACAGCAGUUGAAGGACCCAAAAGAAGGCAACAAUGGCUCUUCAAUAUCCACAGACAGGGCAGGUGACAAGAACAUGGGCAAUGGACACGAUGUUUCUCAUGCACUUUCAAACAUUAAUCAUGUGAAUGGUCUACUAUCCAAACACCCAGGAACAUCAGCAAGAGGAUCAGAUCAUCAUCUAGAACUUAUGGGCUGCUACCUGCACCCGAUGCCCGUCUUGUCUAUCAUGCUGAACACCAAAGACAGUAGCAGCUUACAUAUUUAUGUACUUUGUGGAUCUUCAGAGAGCUGUAAGAGAUUUCUCUACGUAUAUGACAUCACUCUUAAUGAUCACCAUGAGAAACCACCUAAUUUUGUCGGUUACACUACCCUUCUACUACCCUCAUUGGAGCAGGCUUCUACCGGGAAUUCUACACUUGGAAGAUCCGGGAUACAGUUUACACCUGAUGGGCAGUUUCUUGUCCUCCUUAGCAGUAUACGGAUACCAUGUUGCAGGAUGCAAAGCAUUGAUUGUUCAUGCUCCUUGUGUAAAGUGGAUCAGUGCGGUGACAAUUCUCUGAAAAUUGUAUCUGUUAACUUGGGCUACAUCUCGCUGUUGACCAAAUUGAUGCCUUCUGGGACAGUGUCUUGCUUUUUGAUAUCUGAGCCAAAUUAUGUUGUAGCAGCGGAAGACAGCAGAAACUUGCAUGUAUGGAUUAUGGUCACUGGAUGGAGUGUGAUCUCUGAGGAGUAUGUCAUUUCUAGUUCCGGUAAUGUGGGUCCCUCAAUACUGGAGCUUAGAAAAAUGCCAAAAAGCAGCUCUCUCAUUAUUGGCCAUGAUGGCGCAGGUGGCUUUUGUUUGUGGGACAUCUCCAAGCGAACACUUUUGUCAACUUUUGCAGCUCCAGGGAACAUCGUCUUCCAGAUUCUUCCUCUAGGCCUCUGUAGUUUACAGGAGGAUGUCGUUCAUUCUUCAGUUGAUGACAUAGAGAGAAGGUUACAAGAGAUCACAGUGAGUGAGAUGUCAGAAAAAGAUGAUGGUGAGUCCAGUCUGAUGUUAUCAGGAAAAGAUAUAGCGGUUUGGAUUAUGGUAUCUUCUGCUUCAGUAGCUGAGUACCAACAUGACCUUCAAGCAAAAGAACACAAUGCUCGAUGGAGGCUAGCUCUGCUGGCAAACAAUAAAGUUUUAAUGGGAAAUAUUUUUGAUCCAAGGGCUACUUCUGUAGAUGCCUGUGGUAAUCAUGGAUUUGCUGGAACACAUGGAGGUUUCUUCUAUAUGUGGGAAUUAUCUUCUGGGAGAAAGCUUACCAGCACACAGUGCUUCAAUUGUGCUCGAGUUUCCUGUGUUGCUGUUGAUGCCAAAUCAAGCGUAGUGGCAGUAGCUGACGAUGGCUGCCAGCUAUUACUUUACGCUCAAAAGAGGGUGUAA
Molecule: ribosomal RNA, 2943 nt
Filed under: Triticum aestivum (bread wheat)
Lineage: Eukaryota; Viridiplantae; Streptophyta; Magnoliopsida; Poales; Poaceae
Description: partial small subunit ribosomal RNA
Source: RNAcentral